AUUGAACGCUGGCGGUAUGCUUUACACAUGCAAGUCGAACGGUAACAGGCCUUCGGGUGCUGACGAGUGGCGCACGGGUGAGUAAUGCAUCGGAACGUGCCCAGAGGUGGGGGAUAACGCAGCGAAAGCUGUGCUAAUACCGCAUGUGAUCUGAGGAUGAAAGCGGGGGACCAGGCAGCAAUGUUUGGCCUCGCGCCUUUGGAGCGGCCGAUGUCAGAUUAGGUAGUUGGUGGGGUAAAGGCCUACCAAGCCGACGAUCUGUAGCUGGUCUGAGAGGACGACCAGCCACACUGGGACUGAGACACGGCCCAGACUCCUACGGGAGGCAGCAGUGGGGAAUUUUGGACAAUGGGCGCAAGCCUGAUCCAGCAAUGCCGCGUGCGGGAAGAAGGCCUUCGGGUUGUAAACCGCUUUUGUACGGAACGAAAAGGCUCUGGCUAAUACCUGGGGCUGAUGACGGUACCGUAAGAAUAAGCACCGGCUAACUACGUG
This 492-nucleotide ribosomal RNA is filed under the name uncultured bacterium. RNAcentral describes it as "partial 16S ribosomal RNA". It matches the Rfam family "Bacterial small subunit ribosomal RNA", at positions 30 to 507 of the family's 1533-position model. The record is from RNAcentral.